GACGAACGCUGGCGGCGUGCUUAACACAUGCAAGUCGAACGGAAAGGCCCUGCUUGCAGGGUGGUCUAGUGGCGAACGGGUGAGUAACACGUGGGUGAUCUGCGCGUCACUUCGGGAUAAGCUUGGUAAACUGGGGCUAAUACCGGAUAGGAACCAUGUUUAGUGUGGGGGUUGGACAGUUUUUUGGGUGUGGGAUGAGCUCGCGGCCUAUCAGUUUGUUGGUGGGGUAAUGGCCUACCAAGGCGGCGACGGGUAGCCGGCCUGAGAGGGUGUACGGCCACAGUGGGACUGAGAUACGGCCCAGACACCUACGGGAGGCAGCAGUGGGGAAGAUUGAACAAGGGGCGCAAGCCCGAUGCAGCGACGCCGCGUGGGGGAUGAAGGACUUCGGGUUGUAAACGCCGUUCGCUAGGGACGAAGCGUUUUGUGACGGUACCUAGAUAAGAAGCACCGGCUAACUACGUG
Molecule: ribosomal RNA, 465 nt
Filed under: uncultured bacterium
Lineage: Bacteria
Description: partial 16S ribosomal RNA
Rfam family: Bacterial small subunit ribosomal RNA
Source: RNAcentral